This 770-nucleotide ribosomal RNA is filed under the name uncultured fungus. RNAcentral's name for it is "eukaryotic LSU rRNA". It matches the Rfam family "Eukaryotic large subunit ribosomal RNA", at positions 30 to 821 of the family's 3401-position model. The record is from RNAcentral. Lineage: Eukaryota; Fungi.
GAACUUAAGCAUAUCAAUAAGCGGAGGAAAAGAAACCAACAGGGAUUACCUCAGUAACGGCGAGUGAAGCGGUAACAGCUCAAAUUUGAAAUCUGGCCUCACGGUCCGAGUUGUAAUUUGUAGAGGAUGUUUCGAACGUGGUCCGGUCUAAGUUCCUUGGAACAGGACGUCAUAGAGGGUGAGAAUCCCGUAUGCGACUGGGUGCCUAAGUUCAUGUGAAACUCCUUCGACGAGUCGAGUUGUUUGGGAAUGCAGCUCAAAAUGGGUGGUAAAUUUCAUCUAAAGCUAAAUAUUGGCCAGAGACCGAUAGCGCACAAGUAGAGUGAUCGAAAGAUGAAAAGCACUUUGGAAAGAGAGUUAAACAGUACGUGAAAUUGUUGAAAGGGAAGCGCUUGCAACCAGACUUGCACGCAGUUGAUCAUCCGGUAUUCUUACCGGUGCACUCGAUUGUGUUCAGGCCAGCAUCGGUUUUGGUGGUUGGAUAAAGGCCUUGGGAAUGUAGCUUCUUUCGGGAAGUGUUAUAGCCCUCGGUGCAAUGCAGCCUACCGGGACCGAGGACCGCGCUUCGGCUAGGAUGCUGGCGUAAUGGUUGUAAGCGACCCGUCUUGAAACACGGACCAAGGAGUCUAACAUCUAUGCGAGUGUUUGGGUGUCAAACCCAUACGCGUAAUUAACGUGAACGGAGGUGAGAACCCUUAAGGGUGCAUCAUCGACCGAUCCUGAUGUCUUCGGAUGGAUUUGAGUAAGAGCAUAGCUGUUGGGACCCGAAA